GUGCUCCCUUCAGCAGCACAUAUGCUAAAUUUGGGACAAUACGGGGAAACAUGGUCCCUGCACAAGGAUGACAUGCAGAAGGGUGAAGUGUUCCCUUAAGAA
Molecule: small nuclear RNA, 102 nt
Organism: Camelus dromedarius (Arabian camel)
Lineage: Eukaryota; Metazoa; Chordata; Mammalia; Artiodactyla; Camelidae
Source: Ensembl